GGAUAGGGUACAGGUUAGGAUAGGGUACAGGUUAGGAUAGGAUACAGGUUAUGGUUACAGGUUAGGAUAGGGUACAGGUUAUGGUUACAGGUUAGGAUAGG
Non-coding RNA from Salvelinus sp. IW2-2015, 101 nucleotides. The record is from RefSeq and is a predicted model, not a curated record. NCBI's taxonomy places the organism in Eukaryota, Metazoa, Chordata, Actinopteri, Salmoniformes, Salmonidae.